UACAGAGGUCUCGAGCGUUGUUCGGAUUCAUUGGGCGUAAAGGGCGCGUAGGCGGCGGGGUAAGUCUGGUGUGAAAUCUCGGAGCUCAACUCCGAAAUUGCACUGGAUACUGCUCUGCUAGAGGGCUGGAGAGGGAGAUCGGAAUUCACGGUGUAGCAAGUGAAAUGCGUAGAUAUCGUGAGGAAGACCAGUGGCGAAGGCGGAUCUCUGGGCCUUACCUGACGCUGAGGCGCGAAAGCUAGGGGAGCAAACAGG
RNAcentral lists this ribosomal RNA (255 nucleotides) under uncultured bacterium. RNAcentral's name for it is "partial 16S ribosomal RNA". It matches the Rfam family "Bacterial small subunit ribosomal RNA", at positions 524 to 776 of the family's 1533-position model. The record is from RNAcentral.